Molecule: unclassified non-coding RNA, 411 nt
Filed under: Hevea brasiliensis (rubber tree)
Lineage: Eukaryota; Viridiplantae; Streptophyta; Magnoliopsida; Malpighiales; Euphorbiaceae
Source: RNAcentral
GGCCCUUCAAAUUAUUAAAACCAACAAAAAAAAAGAAAAUUAAAGAAAAUUAAAUUUUGACCCAAACAAGCAAGAUCAAUGGCAAAUUGAGGAAGUUUCCAACAUGCCCCAUCAUAGCCCACAAUUUUCCCAUAUUAAUAUUUUAAAUUUUCUUCAUCCUUACCCACUUUUCUACAUUCCACUCCGGCACAUUCAAUACCAACGUCAUAUUCAAAAGCUGUAAACAGUCGCAAUCAGCUUUUCAAGUUCCCUUCUGUAAUGGGAGAAUAAUAAUCAAUAACAGAAAAAAAAUAAAAAUAAAAAUAAACUAUAUUUAUUACAACCUCAUCCAUGAAAAUAUGUAGUAUAUGAUGAUCAUAAUCUCUAUCUAUAAAUGUGGAAGCGUAUAAUCAAGAAACGGGAAAAAAAAAA